Rhodamnia argentea is the source of this 1246-nucleotide long non-coding RNA. RefSeq lists it as uncharacterized. Lineage: Eukaryota; Viridiplantae; Streptophyta; Magnoliopsida; Myrtales; Myrtaceae. The transcript has 4 exons. The record is from RefSeq and is a predicted model, not a curated record.
GUGCAUGAACUUAGCCGAAAUUCAAGGCCUCGAUAGGCUGGAGUUCUUGGAAGAGCUGAGUAUCACCGAAUGCGCUUCAAUUGAAAUGCUAGACCUUCCAAUAUCCGAGAGUCUGAAGGAGUUAUAUGUUUCAUCUUGCGAAAGCUUAAUUGAAAUCCAAGGUCUCGAUAGGUUGGGGUUCUUGGAAAGGUUGGAUCUCUGUUGGUGCACUUCAAUCGAAAGUUUACCAAUUUUAUGUUGCUUUGACACCUUGAGAUGGUUGGCGAUCACAUGCUGUGACAAGUUUCAGGAUAUUCGGAGCCUAGAGAGAAUCUCAUCCUGCGAAAGUUUAUGGAUUGAAGAUUGCAAGUCCUUAGAAGAAUUACCGAACUUGUCAAGUUUUCCUAAUUUACAAAAAUUGCUCCUGUCAAAUUGUCCUGAACUUCGGGAGAUCCCGGGGCUUGAAGAGUCAAUAUCUCUAAAAUUUGUUGCUAUCUCAGGAUGCUCCUCGAUUGAGAUCUUACCUGAUUUGUCAUCUUGUACCCGCUUGAUUAGUUUGAUUGUGCAAAAUUGCGAGCAAUUGACUGAGCUUCGAGGGCUCGAGAAAUUGGACCAACUAGUGGAAUUGGACAUUUCUGGAUGUAAGUCACUCAAAACAAUUCCGGAGUUAUCUGGAGCGCAGCUUUAUCAAAAUUAUGAGAAAAAGCCAUCUGACUCGGGUCGUGGAUCGAUAGAAUUUGGAUUUCCGGAAUUGUCUCAGAUGAGUCGGUAUACUGGAGAUGAUCCAUUUUUUCUGAUAUAGGAAUCCGUGGGAGAUGUUCAAGGAAGUUAAUGUGUGCUUUGGCAAUAUGAUUCUGCUUAUCGGGCCACUAAUGGAAAUAGAUGGAAAGGCUUACUAAGCGCAUCUGUCAUUAGUCUUCAGGGAAGACCCUUCAUCCUAUGCAGCAAAAUAAAGAUUCUCAGUGUUCUGAUUAAUUCUGGAAUGCUUGAAGUACCGAAUAAAAACCGAUGUAUACAAUGCCAAAGGAUUCGGUUAGCAUUCCACUGGUUGAUGUAAGUGCUGGAAAUAUCCAAGAGAGCUUGCCCAAGGCAAUCUUAAAAGGAAAUCAUCAAAGGAUCAGGAGCUUGAUGUUUCUUGAACUUCUCCAAGCUCUGACUAUGCAUCCUUGGAAUGGUAAAGGAUGUUUGCAUGUUGUCAUCCCACAUUGUCCUGAUUUACAUUCAACAGAAGCUUUGCAGAGCUGGGACUUUCCGCCUCUGCUCCUGU